This 190-nucleotide non-coding RNA is filed under the name uncultured Bartonella sp. The record is from RNAcentral. Lineage: Bacteria; Pseudomonadati; Pseudomonadota; Alphaproteobacteria; Hyphomicrobiales; Bartonellaceae.
UUGUGGUUCUCUUAUGCCUGAUCGGCCAAGAGCUAAGAGGGAAUUCGGUGGGGAUGUUAAAUCAUCCGGUUCCGAAGCUGCCCCCGCAACUGUAAACGGCUAGCUGAAAUUCUUUAUACCACUGGAAUAUUUUCCGGGAAGGUGAACUGAGGCGUUUAUCCGUGAGCCAGGAGACCUGCCAUGACAAAUA